CAGUAGCCGCGGGAAUACGUAGGCGGCAAGCGUUGUCCGGAAUUAUUGGGCGUAAAGCGCGCGCAGGCGGAUAGGUCAGUCUGUCUUAAAAGUUCGGGGCUUAACCCCGUGAUGGGAUGGAAACUGCCAAUCCAGAGUAUCGGAGAGGAAAGCGGAAUUCCCAGUGUAGCGGUGAAAUGCGUAGAUAUUGGGAGGAACACCAGUGGCGAAGGCGACUCUCUGGUCUGUAACUGACGCUGAGGCGCGAAAGCGUGGGGAGCAAACAGGAUUAGAUACCCCAGUAGUCCCUGUCUCUUAUACA
RNAcentral lists this ribosomal RNA (301 nucleotides) under uncultured bacterium. Its description in RNAcentral is "partial 16S ribosomal RNA". It matches the Rfam family "Bacterial small subunit ribosomal RNA", at positions 509 to 808 of the family's 1533-position model. The record is from RNAcentral.